GACGAACGCUGGCGGCGUGCUUAACACAUGCAAGUCGAGCGGUAAGGCCCGUUUCGGGGUACACGAGCGGCGAACGGGUGAGUAACACGUGGGUGACCUCGCCCUCAGCUCUGGGAUAAGCCCGGGAAACUGGGUCUAAUACCGGAUAUGACUUCAUGACGCAUGUUGUGGAGUGGAAAGCCUUGUGCGGCUGAGGGACUGGGCCCGCGGCCUAUCAGCUUGUUGGUGGGGUGANGGCCUACCAAGGCGACGACGGGUAGCCGGCCUGAGAGGGCGACCGGCCAC
RNAcentral lists this ribosomal RNA (285 nucleotides) under uncultured bacterium. RNAcentral describes it as "partial 16S ribosomal RNA". It matches the Rfam family "Bacterial small subunit ribosomal RNA", at positions 28 to 311 of the family's 1533-position model. The record is from RNAcentral.